RNAcentral lists this unclassified non-coding RNA (660 nucleotides) under Pappia fissilis. RNAcentral describes it as "Tyromyces fissilis sequence contains 18S rRNA gene, ITS1, 5.8S rRNA gene, ITS2, 28S rRNA gene". The stretch from base 261 to 414 matches the Rfam family "5.8S ribosomal RNA". Lineage: Eukaryota; Fungi; Basidiomycota; Agaricomycetes; Polyporales; Meruliaceae. The record is from RNAcentral.
CGUAACAAGGUUUCCGUAGGUGAACCUGCGGAAGGAUCAUUAUCGAGUUUUGAAAAGGGUUGUAGCUGGCCUUCGGCAACAAGUCGGAGGCAUGUGCACGCCUGGCUCAUCCACUCUCAAACCCCUGUGCACCUUUUGUAGGCUUCGGCAGAGAGGACUGACUUCGGUCGGUUCAGGAAGCCUUGUGCCUAUGUCACACAUACAAACGCUUCAGUUUAGAAUGUAACGAAUCGUGCGCCUCGGUGCAACGAAAUAAAUACAACUUUCAGCAACGGAUCUCUUGGCUCUCGCAUCGAUGAAGAACGCAGCGAAAUGCGAUAAGUAAUGUGAAUUGCAGAAUUCAGUGAAUCAUCGAAUCUUUGAACGCACCUUGCGCUCCUUGGUAUUCCGAGGAGCAUGCCUGUUUGAGUGUCAUGAAAUUCUCAACCUUUGAAGCUUUUUUUUGAGCUCGCAAAGGCUUGGACUUGGAGGUCGUGUCGGCUCGUAACAAAGUCGACUCCUCUGAAAUGCAUUAGUGUGAAACCUUCGCAGGAUCGCCUUCGGUGUGAUAAUUGUCUACGCCGUCGGUCGUGAAAGUCGAAACAUACGUGUUCACGCUUCUAAUCGUCCGUCGAGGACAAACUUUUUUCUUGACCAUCUGACCUCAAAUCAGGUAGGACU